CUACGGGAUGCAGCAGUGGGGAAUAUUGCACAAUGGGCGCAAGCCUGAUGCAGCCAUGCCGCGUGUACGAAGAAGGCCUUCGGGUUGUAAAGUACUUUCAGCGGGGAGGAAGGGAGUAAAGUUAAUACCUUUGCUCAUUGACGUUACCCGCAGAAGAAGCACCGGCUAACUCCGUGCCAGCAGCCGCGGUAAUACGGAGGGUGCAAGCGUUAAUCGGAAUUACUGGGCGUAAAGCGCACGCAGGCGGUUUGUUAAGUCAGAUGUGAAAUCCCCGGGCUCAACCUGGGAACUGCAUCUGAUACUGGCAAGCUUGAGUCUCGUAGAGGGGGGUAGAAUUCCAGGUGUAGCGGUGAAAUGCGAAGAGAUCUGGAGGAAUACCGGUGGCGAAGGCGGCCCCCUGGACGAAGACUGACGCUCAGGUGCGAAAGCGUGGGGAGCAAACAGGAUUAGAUACCCGCGUAGUC
Molecule: ribosomal RNA, 464 nt
Filed under: uncultured bacterium
Lineage: Bacteria
Description: partial 16S ribosomal RNA
Rfam family: Bacterial small subunit ribosomal RNA
Source: RNAcentral